This 482-nucleotide ribosomal RNA is filed under the name uncultured bacterium. Its description in RNAcentral is "partial 16S ribosomal RNA". It matches the Rfam family "Bacterial small subunit ribosomal RNA", at positions 28 to 523 of the family's 1533-position model. The record is from RNAcentral.
AAUGAACGUUGGCGGCGUGGAUUAGGCAUGCAAGUCGAGCGAGAACCGUAGCAAUACGGGGACAGCGGCGAAAGGGACAGUAAUGUGUAGGUACCUACCCCUGGGUUCGGGAUAGCUGCGGGAAACUGCAGGUAAUACCGAAUAACGUCUACGGACCAAAGGUGUGAUUCCACCUGGGGAGGGGCCUGCAUCCUAUUAGCUUGUUGGCGGGGUAAUGGCCCACCAAGGCAACGAUGGGUAGCGGGUGUGAGAGCACGACCCGCGUCAUUGGGACUGAGAAACUGCCCAGACACGUACGGGUGGCUGCAGUCGAGGAUCUUCGGCAAUGGGCGAAAGCCUGACCGAGCGACGCCGCGUGCGGGAUGAAGGCCUUCGGGUUGUAAACCGCUGUCGUAGGGGAGGAAAUGCAGGGGGGUUCUCCCCUUUGCUUGACCUAUUCUAGGAGGAAGUACGGGCUAAGUUCGUGCCAGCAGCCGCCGUAA